ACUGGCGGAGGAAUUCUCUCUUUAUAUCGAUGUCCUCGAGUUGACUUCCAGUUAGAACGUACAUUAUUACCUAGAUGUGUCGUAAAAUAUAAUUCAGAGACGGUUAUGAGAAAUAUGGAUUACCCAAGCCUAACUUGCAGAUUACCUGUUAUAAGAAAUUGUAGAUUAUCUGUUUAAUUUACCUACUGUGACGUACACAAUGAUAUAUAUAAUAAUAAUAUUAACUUUUGUGUUUUGUGUUGUAAAUACUAGCUUCAUUUCUACAAUAUCGUUUAUGAAAAAUGAUUUUAACGAUAUUAUCAUGGACAGGGAAAUAUUAGAGACAUUCGAUUCAGUUAAAUCUAAGACAGAAUGCGCCCUGAAGUGUACGGAGAAUUCUGAUUGUUUGUCGUAUUUCUAUAACAAUGUUGAAAGAUCCUGUCAAAAUCACCCUGUAGUUUUCAUCAGUCCAGUUGAUGGCGUGGCUAAACCAUUUACUACCUAUUCUGUAGUAUUUGACGUAUCUGGUUCUUGUCCAAUAAAUGAUGAAUAUAUCAACCAUAGAGGCUAUAAUUUAUGUUACAAACCACAUAAAAUAUCGGUGGAUCGUGCUGGCGCCAUCAGUAAAUGUGACGGAGACGGCGACGUUCUCUUUACUGGUUACAAUACUCAACAAAUUAACCACGUGGCUCAACAAUUAAACUCAUCGUCAGAUUACAGGGCAGUGGCAGCGGGGUUUUAUAUUGAUGGUAGUGACGAGGUGGAAGAGGGACAAUGGGUGCUCUCUGAUGGAAGUUUGAUCGAUUGGAGUCUAUGGUUACCAGAGCAACCACAAAAUAAAACAGAUGAAGACUAUCUAGCCUUAAGAUACGAGGAAGAAUAUUCAACAACUGGCUUUAACGACGCUAAAACGUCUUGGCUUAAAGGAGUCGUUUGUCAAAAAGUCGUGUGAUCAGAUUUUUAGCUCCUUGGUCCAUUUUGUACAUUUUGUAUUUUUAUCGAUCAGGUACCCUGUGUUCAA
Molecule: long non-coding RNA, 1000 nt
Organism: Patella vulgata (common limpet)
Lineage: Eukaryota; Metazoa; Mollusca; Gastropoda; Patellidae
Exons: 3
Source: RefSeq, a predicted model, not a curated record